Molecule: transfer RNA, 77 nt
Filed under: Puniceicoccales bacterium
Lineage: Bacteria; Pseudomonadati; Verrucomicrobiota; Opitutia; Puniceicoccales
Description: tRNA-Pro
Rfam family: tRNA
About the family: Transfer RNA (tRNA) molecules are approximately 80 nucleotides in length.
Source: RNAcentral
CGGGUCAUGGCGCAGUCUGGUAGCGCACUUGCAUGGGGUGCAAGGGGCCGGGAGUUCGAAUCUCCCUGACCCGACCA